Molecule: ribosomal RNA, 253 nt
Filed under: uncultured bacterium
Lineage: Bacteria
Description: partial 16S ribosomal RNA
Rfam family: Bacterial small subunit ribosomal RNA
Source: RNAcentral
UACGAGGGGGGCAAGCGUUGUUCGGAAUUAUUGGGCGUAAAGGGCGCGUAGGCGGUGCGGUAAGAGUGUUGUGAAAUCCUGGAGCUCAACUCCAGAACUGCCUUUGAUACUGGCGACCUUGAGUCCGGGAGAGGUGAGUGGAACUGCGAGUGUAGAGGUGAAAUUCGUAGAUAUUCGCAAGAACACCAGUGGCGAAAGCGGCUCACUGGACCAUUACUGACGCUGAUGCACGAAAGCUAGGGGAGCAAACAGG